UGGGGCUGUAGUCGGUCCCAAGGGUUGGGCUGUUCGCCCAUUAAAGCGGUACGCGAGCUGGGUUCAGAACGUCGUGAGACAGUUCGGUCCCUAUCCGUCGUGGGCGUAGGAAAUUUGAGAGGAGCUGUCCUUAGUACGAGAGGACCGGGAUGGACAUACCUCUGGUGUACCAGUUGUCGUGCCAACGGCAUAGCUGGGUAGCUAUGUGUGGACGGGAUAAGUGCUGAAAGCAUCUAAGCAUGAAGCCCCCCUCAAGAUGAGAUUUCCCAACUUCGGUUAUAAGAUCCCUCAAAGAUGAUGAGGUUAAUAGGUUCGAGGUGGAAGCAUGGUGACAUGUGGAGCUGACGAAUACUAAUCGAUCGAAGACUUAAUCAAAA
RNAcentral lists this ribosomal RNA (377 nucleotides) under Staphylococcus aureus. RNAcentral's name for it is "partial 23S ribosomal RNA". It matches the Rfam family "Bacterial large subunit ribosomal RNA", at positions 2548 to 2925 of the family's 2925-position model. The record is from RNAcentral. Lineage: Bacteria; Bacillati; Bacillota; Bacilli; Caryophanales; Staphylococcaceae.